RNAcentral lists this long non-coding RNA (228 nucleotides) under Pan troglodytes (chimpanzee). RNAcentral's name for it is "long non-coding RNA NONPTRT001825". The record is from RNAcentral. Lineage: Eukaryota; Metazoa; Chordata; Mammalia; Primates; Hominidae.
AAAAAAGGGCAGUUUUUAUAUGGCAUGUAAGCACUUGCUAGAUGACGAGUUACUGGGUGCAGCGCGCCAGCAUGGCACAUGUAUACAUAUGUAACUAACCUGCACAUUGUGCACAUGUACCCUAAAACUUAAAGUAUAAUAAUAAUUUUUUCAAAAGUGAAGGAAUGGAAAAGAUAUUUCAUGCAAAUAGAAACAAAAAGAAAGCAGUAGUUAUACUUAUUUUAGACA